CGCAAGCCUGACGGAGCAACGCCGCGUGUGGGAAGGAGGCUCUUGGGCUGUCAACCACUUUUCUCAGGGAAGAAGCCCUGACGGUACCUGAGGAAUCAGCCUCGGCUAACUCCGUGCCAGCAGCCGCGGUAAUACGGAGGAGGCAAGCGUUAUCCGGAAUUAUUGGGCGUAAAGCGUCCGCAGGGGGCACAUCAAGUCUGCUGUUAAAGGCUGGAGCUUAACUCCGGUAGAGCAGUGGAAACUGGUGUGCUAGAGGGCGACAGGGGUAGAGGGAAUUCCCAGUGUAGCGGUGAAAUGCGUAGAGAUUGGGAAGAACACCGGUGGCGAAAGCGCUCUACUGGGUCGCACCUGACCCUCAGGGACGAAAGCUAAGGUAGCG
RNAcentral lists this ribosomal RNA (379 nucleotides) under uncultured cyanobacterium. RNAcentral describes it as "bacterial SSU rRNA". It matches the Rfam family "Bacterial small subunit ribosomal RNA", at positions 376 to 770 of the family's 1533-position model. The record is from RNAcentral. Lineage: Bacteria; Bacillati; Cyanobacteriota.